GACGAACGCUGGCGGCGUGCCUAAUACAUGCAAGUAGAACGCUGAAGAGAGGAGCUUGCUCUUCUUGGAUGAGUUGCGCACGGGUGAGUAACGCGUAGGUAACCUGCCUUGUAGCGGGGGAUAACUAUUGGAAACGAUAGCUAAUACCGCAUAACAUUGGAUGACACAUGUCAUUUAUUUGAAAGGGGCAAUUGCUCCACUACAAGAUGGACUUGCGGUGUAUUAGGUAGUAGGUGAGGUAAUGGCUCACCUAGGCGACGAUACAUAGCCGAACUGAGAGGGUGGUCGGCCACACUGGGAGGGUGACACGGCCCAGACUGCUACAGGAAGGAACAAGAGGGAAUCUUCGGCCAUGGGGGGAACCCUGACCGAGCAACGCCGCGGGAGGGAAGAAGGGUGUCGGAUCGGGAAGCACUGUUGUAAGGCAAUAACCGGUGUGAGAGUGGAAAGUUCACAGUGUGACGGUAGCUGACCAGAAAGCAACGGCUAACUACGUG
RNAcentral lists this ribosomal RNA (497 nucleotides) under uncultured bacterium. RNAcentral's name for it is "partial 16S ribosomal RNA". It matches the Rfam family "Bacterial small subunit ribosomal RNA", at positions 28 to 507 of the family's 1533-position model. The record is from RNAcentral.